ACCCUCCAAACAUCCAAAAAAGCUUCCACCAUCCAUCACACACUAGUCCUCCUCUUCUAUCUCCAACCUUCCAAACAAUCCAUCUGUUCAAUCCCAGGAUGUCAGCACGCAAGAGUUUCAUGGAAGGCUAGACUCCUUCAACUCGGAAAGACGAUGAAGCCUGCAACACAGAUUUAUUUUCUUUAUCUUGUAUUUAUUUUCCAUGCA
This 207-nucleotide long non-coding RNA is filed under the name Elaeis guineensis (African oil palm). Its description in RNAcentral is "long non-coding RNA (EGUI_LNC019580)". The record is from RNAcentral. Lineage: Eukaryota; Viridiplantae; Streptophyta; Magnoliopsida; Arecales; Arecaceae.